UGAUUUUUAAUGUUUUUGUAUGCUUAAUGGUGAUUUUAUUUGUAUGUGCCUUGGCAAGGAAUUUGUUUCAGGCUUUCAGCAUUCCAUAAAAUUCCAGUAGAGGUGUAAAUAAUAGUACAAGAAGAAUUUUUCCUUUUGAAAACAGAAAAUAGUUUCCAUUCAUACAAAUUACUAACAACAACUAGACCUUAAUUCCAAAUUAGUUUGGGUCAACUUUAUGAUUUGUUUCACCAUAUUUUUUUGCUACUAUUUAAGUGGACCUAGUAUUUAAUAGGGCUAAAUGAUGAGAAAAAAAAAAAGUCUAUAUAGCCG
This 312-nucleotide unclassified non-coding RNA is filed under the name Hevea brasiliensis (rubber tree). The record is from RNAcentral. Lineage: Eukaryota; Viridiplantae; Streptophyta; Magnoliopsida; Malpighiales; Euphorbiaceae.